RNAcentral lists this unclassified non-coding RNA (279 nucleotides) under uncultured Tremellales. Its description in RNAcentral is "sequence contains 5.8S rRNA gene". The stretch from base 1 to 53 matches the Rfam family "5.8S ribosomal RNA", at positions 102 to 154 of the family's 154-position model. Lineage: Eukaryota; Fungi; Basidiomycota; Tremellomycetes; Tremellales. The record is from RNAcentral.
GAACGCACCUUGCGCCUUUUGGUAUUCCGAAAGGCAUGCCUGUUUGAGUGUCAUGAAAUCUCAAUCCCCCCGGGUUUUCUGAACCCGAGGUGGACUUGGACAUGGGUGUCUGCCGUCUUGUACGGCUCGCCUUAAAUGACUCAGUGGGAUCUUCAGCAUCCGUGGCAGACGUAAUAAGUUUCGUCUCGUCCCUUGCUGUGAGGACCGCUCAUAACCUGCCAUCGCGCACCACUUUUGACUCUGACCUCAAAUCAGGUAGGACUACCCGCUGAACUUAAG